This 614-nucleotide ribosomal RNA is filed under the name Pseudomonas sp. RNAcentral describes it as "bacterial SSU rRNA". It matches the Rfam family "Bacterial small subunit ribosomal RNA", at positions 107 to 717 of the family's 1533-position model. Lineage: Bacteria; Pseudomonadati; Pseudomonadota; Gammaproteobacteria; Pseudomonadales; Pseudomonadaceae. The record is from RNAcentral.
UGAGUAAUGCCUAGGAAUCUGCCUGGUAGUGGGGGAUAACGUCCGGAAACGGACGCUAAUACCGCAUACGUCCUACGGGAGAAAGCAGGGGACCUUCGGGCCUUGCGCUAUCAGAUGAGCCUAGGUCGGAUUAGCUAGUUGGUGGGGUAAUGGCUCACCAAGGCGACGAUCCGUAACUGGUCUGAGAGGAUGAUCAGUCACACUGGAACUGAGACACGGUCCAGACUCCUACGGGAGGCAGCAGUGGGGAAUAUUGGACAAUGGGCGAAAGCCUGAUCCAGCCAUGCCGCGUGUGUGAAGAAGGUCUUCGGAUUGUAAAGCACUUUAAGUUGGGAGGAAGGGCAGUAAAUUAAUACUUUGCUGUUUUGACGUUACCGACAGAAUAAGCACCGGCUAACUCUGUGCCAGCAGCCGCGGUAAUACAGAGGGUGCAAGCGUUAAUCGGAAUUACUGGGCGUAAAGCGCGCGUAGGUGGUUCGUUAAGUUGGAUGUGAAAUCCCCGGGCUCAACCUGGGAACUGCAUUCAAAACUGACGAGCUAGAGUAUGGUAGAGGGUGGUGGAAUUUCCUGUGUAGCGGUGAAAUGCGUAGAUAUAGGAAGGAACACCAGUGGCG